Molecule: ribosomal RNA, 468 nt
Filed under: Theileria ovis
Lineage: Eukaryota; Apicomplexa; Aconoidasida; Piroplasmida; Theileriidae
Description: SSU rRNA
Rfam family: Eukaryotic small subunit ribosomal RNA
Source: RNAcentral
GAGUAUCAAUUGGAGGGCAAGUCUGGUGCCAGCAGCCGCGGUAAUUCCAGCUCCAAUAGCGUAUAUUAAAAUUGUUGCAGUUAAAAAGCUCGUAGUUGAAUUUCUGCUGCAUUGCUUUUGCUCCUUUACGAGUCUUUGCAUUGUGGCUUAUUUCGGACUUUGUUUUACAAUGUCCGGAUGUUUACUUUGAGAAAAUUAGAGUGCUCAAAGCAGGCUUUCGCCUUGAAUAGUUUAGCAUGGAAUAAUAAAGUAGGACUUUGGUUCUAUUUUGUUGGUUUUAGGUACCAAAGUAAUGGUUAAUAGGAACAGUUGGGGGCAUUCGUAUUUAACUGUCAGAGGUGAAAUUCUUAGAUUUGUUAAAGACGAACUACUGCGAAAGCAUUUGCCAAGGAUGUUUUCAUUAAUCAAGAACGAAAGUUAGGGGAUCGAAGACGAUCAGAUACCGUCGUAGUCCUAACCAUAAACAAA